Neopsephotus bourkii (Bourke's parrot) is the source of this 895-nucleotide long non-coding RNA. RefSeq lists it as uncharacterized. Lineage: Eukaryota; Metazoa; Chordata; Aves; Psittaciformes; Psittacidae. The transcript is spliced from 3 exons. The record is from RefSeq and is a predicted model, not a curated record.
UUUUCUUUCCGUCGCGGCUUUGCUGAGGAAGCCAUAGGAAACUGGCUGAAUCUGCAGCCCCAGAAUAACAACUUUGAAGCUUGACAUUCAUAUAUUCUAGUACUAGCCAGGACCAGAGAAAAAGCAAAUGAGAGCUUCCUUCAGAGAUGAUGAACACUUGUGCCUUUCUGCAGGAGAAUGGUCAGGAAUGCCUAGAAUUCAAAAGAUGGGACAUCUAUGGCAGCAAGAGCCUGGGAAGCAAACAAACUGUGCUUCACAUCACUCCAGUAAUUCAGUAUUCACAGCAGACUGAGAUCCAGCAAUUGGGCUGAGCUGAACUGACUGAUGUCCUAUGCUGUGCCUGAAGCAAGAGGUUGCAUGAACCUCAUCAACCGUGGGAUCAACCUAUGUAUGAGGUAAGGACCUCCAGGGGUGCACCAUCUUUCCUCCCUCCCUGAUGAACAUACCUUUUCCUCAGAGAAAACAAGCAGAUGAACUUGUCUGACCUUUGUUCUGUUGUUCAACAUUAGCAGGGAAUGGGUGCAGAUAACUUGUCAAAGGGGCAUACGAUAUGGAGCUCCUCGUCCUGCUUUUUGCUCUCCAAGGCCCAGUAAGUUCCGUAGCAUCAUCAGGCUGUCCCUGUCUUGUAGCUUCUCUCUUGCAGAGCCAGUACGUAACAAAACUCCUCUAAUAGCCUUUAUGGUCUUAACCCAAUUUCCUUCAAAACUGACAUAUGCUGUGAGCUUUGAGAGGCAUUAAGAACUUCAGAAGGCUGCUUAUUAAUAUCCCAUGGAAAGGAGGGAUUGUGGCAUUCUGAGUGCCUGCAGGCAAGCAAUAGAGAAAUCCUAUCACUUGUUUUGGGGCAGAAAAAACUCAUGCGUUUAUCAAACUUAAGACUGCCUCCUUCAGCAAGAAU